GUCUAUGGUCAUACCACCCUGACACACCUGAUCUCAUCUGAUCUCAGAAGCUAAGCAGGGUUGGGCCUGGUUAGUACUUGGAUGGUGGGGAGCACACACCUUCUGGAGU
RNAcentral lists this ribosomal RNA (109 nucleotides) under Propithecus coquereli (Coquerel's sifaka). Lineage: Eukaryota; Metazoa; Chordata; Mammalia; Primates; Indriidae. The record is from RNAcentral.